GCUCGUGUGGCUCAGCUGGUUAGAGCGUUGCAUUCACAUUGCAAAGGUCCCUGGUUCGAAUCCAGGCACGAGCA
RNAcentral lists this transfer RNA (74 nucleotides) under Candidatus Levyibacteriota bacterium. Its description in RNAcentral is "tRNA-Val". It matches the Rfam family "tRNA". From Rfam's summary of the family: Transfer RNA (tRNA) molecules are approximately 80 nucleotides in length. Their secondary structure includes four short double-helical elements and three loops (D, anti-codon, and T loops). Lineage: Bacteria; Candidatus Levyibacteriota. The record is from RNAcentral.